Setaria italica (foxtail millet) is the source of this 3511-nucleotide RNA transcript. RefSeq lists it as uncharacterized. The transcript is spliced from 3 exons. The record is from RefSeq and is a predicted model, not a curated record. Lineage: Eukaryota; Viridiplantae; Streptophyta; Magnoliopsida; Poales; Poaceae.
AUAUCACUACCCCUAACCUUAUCCAUCUCCUAUCCUCCUCCCUCGCUCGUGGCUGCUCGAACCCAUAGAGUGUCGCCUGGCUCCUCUCCCACGAAAACCUAGGGGCGGCGGCAGCCGGCUACUGGCGGCGGCGGCGGACUGCGGGAGGCCAUCCAGGCGGCGGACCGGCAAGAGGCGCACCUGUGUUGCCCCGUCCGGCACCGACGGUAGCGGGAGGAGGCAGCCUGGCCCGAGCGCGAGGGUGCGCGGCCCCGGGCGCGCGCGUUGAAGCCCCAAUGCCGGGCACGAGCCCAGCGUAGGGGGCGCGGGUUCCAGACCCGAUGCCAGGCGCGGCCCCAACGCAGGUGGCACGGGUUCCAGCCCCAACACCUCCACUGCUCCCACAUGAGCACAAGGACAGCGAGGGAGAGCGCAACACCAAGACCAUGGAAGAGGCUAGGCCAAAUCACAGGGAUUUGCAACUUGUUGCUAGAGUUUGUUCGUUUUUCAGCUUGCCUGAUGGGGCCCAAAGUCAUGGCUGCAGGGUAAAACAUUACCACGACAAGUUGUUGACACACAUAACUAUGGGCUGAUGCAGUUAGUUAACUUCAUAGCUGUACACUACAUGUGGGGUUCAAAGCAAUAUAUAUCUUUGUGGCGUGAGUUGGACAAUGACUCUAUUAAGAUAAAAUAUGAUGAACAUCUGUCUGAAUGGUUUGAACUCAAUCUAGAGAAUGGAGCCCAGAUAAAUGAUUUUUAGGGCCCAUUGCAGUUUUCUCCAAUGAAACGUAGGUGCCACCCUUCUCUAAGGAAGACUACCCACAAAUGAGACAGCCACAAGUGAGAUACCUGCAAAUGUGAGAGCCACAAGUGAAACAGCCACAAAUGUGAGAGCCAAAUCCACAUCUAAAAAGAAGAGAGCCACAUAUGAGAGGGUAGAAGUUCAUGAGGAGGACGGCAUGUACUCAGACACACAUUCACUUCUAGCACAAGUGAUAGAAGCUAUGACACUAAUUUGGCUGCAUCUUCAUGCUCUAACGAUUCUAACCCUGAAUUUGAUCCUGAUGGUUAAAUAGUUGAUGAGGAUUGAUCCUCCUCCAUUUUCAUAUGAUGUUGAUGAUCCAUGUAUUGAUGUUAAUGUGGUGUUCCCAGAUGUGGACACCAAUGCAAAUCAGUGGUUACCCAUCAUGCUAUCUUGAAUGAUCAUGCUUUUGAGAUCGUGAAAAAGGAUAAGAGCAGAUUUAGAGCAAUCUGCAAGAGAGCUGAACAGGGCUGCAAUUGGAAGUUUUAUGCUUCAACAAGCAAGAAUUACAUUGGAUGCAAGGUUAAGACAAGUGGACCAAAGCAUACUUGUGGUUCAGUCAACAACUAUGGUGAUACAAUGGCCUCAAAGAAAUGGGUAGCUGAUAGAGUGGUCGACUUGUUACGGGAAGAACCUGAAAUGGGACAAAGGGAGUUGCAGGAUAGGUUAAAGAAGAAGUACUCCAUUGAAGUUCCAUAUUAUAGAGUUGUUAGAGGCAAGAUGAGAGCGUUGGACAUGAUAUAUGGAAAGUGGGAUGACAGCUAUGAUUUGCUACCCACAUAUCAAGAUGAGCGGUUGAGAUUUGUUCCUAGUAGUAUUGUUGAGCUAGACACUGAAGACCACAAUGGUGAUGUGUGUUUCACAAGGUUCUUUGUUGCUCUUAAGCCAUGCAUUGAUGGAUUUUUGCAAGGAUGCAGGCCCUACAUUGCCAUGGAUGCCACUCAUCUUACAGGAAGGUCAAGAGGUCAGUUAGCAGCAGCUGUGGCGGUGGAUGGUCAUAACUGGCUAUUUCUAGUGGCAUAUGGAGUGAUUGAGACCGAGUCCAAGGAUAAUUGGACUUGGUUUAUCAACAACUUGAAGAAUGCAAUUGGUCAUCCUACGGGUUUGAUCAUUAGUACAGAUGCCGGCAAAGAGAUAGAGGGGGUUGUAGAAGAUGUAUACCUAGGACUGGAACAUAGAUAGUACAUGAGGCAUUUGUGGAAGAAUAUGAAGAAGAAUGGAUUCCAUGGUGUCUUUAUGGUAAGAAUAUGUGGGCAGCAGCAAAGAGCUUCACAACUGACAAGUUCAACUACUUCAUGUCAAAGAUAGAGGAGAAAGAUCCCAAUGCAGUUGCAUGGUUGGAUGAAAAUCAUCCAUAUGUGUGGAGUAGAAGCAAAUUCAGCAAGGAUGCAAUAUAGAUUACAUCAACAACAACCUCUCUGAAUUUCAAUAGUUGGGUGUCUAAAUGCAAGUAUUUUCAAAUUGUAGACAUGCAUGAUAGGAUAAGACAGAUGAUCAUUGAGAAAUUUGUUUUGAGAGAUAAAAUUGCUAGAAAAAUGUCUGGAAUAAUCAUCCCUUCUAUUACUAAUGCUCUAAAUGCUAAAUCCAAGACUAUCAAGGAUCAUGAGGUACUAAUAUGUGGGGUUGGGACAGUUGUAGUAACUGUGAACAGAUUUAGGCAUGUUGUAAACUUGGAGCAAAAGACAUGUAGUUGUAGGGCUUGGCAAGUUACUGGAAAGCCAUAUAGCCAUACUUUAGCUUUCAUUGCAAAACUAAGUAGGCAUGUGCAAAUGGAUGCCUUUGUCCAUGAAUACUUCUCUGUUGAGAGGUUCAGAAAGGCAUAUGCAAGUACUUUCAAUCCAAUGACAUCCAAGGACAGCUGGCCACGUGUUGAUUUGGGCUACAAAAUUAAGAAGCCCAAGUUAAGAAGGAAACCUGGGAGACCAAGAAAAUCUAGGAUCAAAGUAUAUGAUGAGGCUAGCACUAGUAAGAGAAAGAGACCAUGUUCUUAAUGUCAUGAUCUAGAUCAUACAGCCAAGCAUUGCCAAGGAGGUCCUACUACUAGUCAAAAGAGAAAGCUAUCAUCUUCACAAAAUGGAUCGUAGUCAAAGAGAAAGCUACCAUCCUCACAAAAUGGAUCAUAAGGGAGCAAUGACCCAAAUGUAGCACAAGCAUCAAUGUGAGUCAUGGAUUGAUACUCAUUUCACAAAAUGGAUCAUGAGGGAGCAAUGACCCAAAUGUAGCACAAGCAUCAAAGUCAUGGAUUGAUACUCAUUUCAAUUUAUUUGCUUAUUUAUUCAUUUCUGUACCACCAACUUGUUUAAUAACACACUUUUACUCUUGUCAUAUGAAGUGCAAGUGCAACAAGAACUAGAAGGGGAAGGUGAACUGGAAGGGGAAGGGAGAGGAGCAGGUGCAGGCUCAGAUGCAGGUGGAAGAGCAAGAGGAAGAGGAGGAAACUCAAGAAGCUUGGCUGCAUUGCUAGGCAGAGAUGCUUGAGUGUCAUGUUUUCCAUUUGCUAUGUACAUUCUGUACUAGUUGGGAUGGCACGUGAACUUGUUGGGUUGUAACCUGAACAUGAUGGGAUGACAUGUGAACUUAGGUUGUGGUAUGGACAUGAUGGGAUGAAAUGUGAACAUCCAGUGGUUUUGUUGUCCAAUACAUGUGAUCUGGUGCUUUAUGUUGGACAUAUGUGUCAUCUGGUGCUUUAUGUUGGUCUAAUAUAUGUGAUCUGGUGCUUUUUCUGUCAAA